CAGGUAUGAAGCAAACAGAUGAAAGCUUUGAUGUACCUGUGAGUGACAAACUGGCAGAACCUGAGCAGCUGCUGGAGUCUGUGGUAGCUGUUGAAGGAAAGGGUGAUCCAAGUGUAAAGAAAGGAAGAAAAGAUGAAUCAAGUGUAGAUACGAAUGUCUAUGAAACACCUUUGGAAGAAUCCCACUUAAAAGAUGGCAAUGUUAAUAUUACGAUGGUUGCCAUAACCCUUGAGUCUGAGGUAGAAAACAAACACAUGAAAAGUAACAAUAUAAAGGAUACAGAAGAUACGAAGAAGACUAAAAGUGAAACAGAUCCGAAGCUGCCACUCGUUACAAGUCAGGGUCCCAAGCAGCCUGAGUUAGGAGAGAAGCUGCUGGGUGAUUCUGGCGAGUCGUCUCUGCCCAGCAAAAAGACUUACAGGCCAUUAUUUGAAUGGGCCGGUGCAGAGAAAAGAAUGUCAAGCUCCAGAACAAAGUCAGAUGUCACCAUAGCGCACCAGCCAAUCCAGGGAUCGUCUCUGUCUGAGCAGAAUACAACUGCAACUGCUGGAUUCCCAGGACAUCCUGCCAGCACAAUAAUACCCAAGCCCCUCAAAAGCAAACACGACAAUGUCCCCUUGGUGAUUAUGAGGGCGUCAGACCUGUUGAAUGCCUCCAGUGUCUGUGGGACCGCACCUUCCCUGAGGAGAAAGCAGCAGGGACUCUGGGAAGCAAUGCAGGAGACCUGCAGAGAGAGAAGAGCAGCAGAUAUGGAUGGCAGAGCUCCUCCGCCAAGCUGUUCUUUUCCAGCCUCCAGCACAGGCAGCAAACUGUCAUGGCAAACCACUGCAGAGUGUAGCAGAGCUCCUACCUUAGCUGCAGGUCCUAGUUCAGAGUCCGAUUGGGAACUCUCCUGCUCCCAGGAG
Oreochromis aureus is the source of this 905-nucleotide long non-coding RNA. The record is from Ensembl. NCBI's taxonomy places the organism in Eukaryota, Metazoa, Chordata, Actinopteri, Cichliformes, Cichlidae.